Molecule: long non-coding RNA, 1447 nt
Filed under: Equus asinus (donkey)
Lineage: Eukaryota; Metazoa; Chordata; Mammalia; Perissodactyla; Equidae
Description: lncRNA (ENSEASG00005028086.1)
Source: RNAcentral
UGGACCACAAUCCUUCAUCUAUUUGCUGUGUGUUGUUUUAGAGCACGGGCCUUGAUUAUUAACAUCCUAGAUUAUCUAAAUUACUUAAUAGUUAGCAGCAUGUAAUAGCUUUUUAAAAAGAAAUGGGGGGCAGCUGUGCGUUGUUUUUUAAUUUGCAUUUAUCAAAACAGCCCCGGCAAAAUAGUCAGUAUUUGAAAAUCUAAACUUCAGGCAGUUUUCGUAACUGUCAAGGGGCCCACUUGAGAAGUCCUGAGCCAAUGGCAAGACUCGGGAUUCAAGCACAAAGGCCCCAAAUCUACUACCUGUUUUGCAGCUUAAUGAGCCACUCCACAGGCAAACAUUCAGGAAACAUGAGCAAGGAAUGGGAAAUCUGAGGAAAGAGCAGUUUAGGUAUCUUUCCAAGAUACUCUAUUCAAUUCCAAAAUGAAAUAAUGAAACGAAAAUAUUUGAGUAUACGUUAUUGAACCAAGGUUCAGACAGGAAGAAAUGCAAGUCAUUAAAUUCCUAUUUGUAAAGUAACAAGGAAACCGAAUGAUCACUAAGAUCCCUUUCAUCUGCAAAAUAUUCUGAUUGAAAUUAGAGGAAAAUUGCCUUUCUGUUUUCUUUUCUCUGAGAUCAGAGAAUCAAUGUUCAACAUACCCCACCCUGUUCUGAAAUCUCAAUCUUCCUUUUGUUACCGCAAAUUUAUUCAUUCAAUAAUCAAAGACCUGUUGAGUAAUGCUAUGUGCACUGGCUUAAAUAGCUUUGGGGCUGGGUUUGAAAUGGAAGGAAAGCUGACAUCCUUGCUUUAUACUCUCCCUUCAGCAGUCAGCCCUUUAAAAUCCCUGGAUGUGGAGCAGGCCAGAGGCCGAGUAGUUGGGUUCACACGCUCUGCUUUUGCUUCUGCUUCUGCGGCCCAGGGUUUCGCCGGUUCAAAUCCUGGGCGCAGACAUGGCACCACUCAUCAGGCCAUUCUCAGGCGGUGUCCCACAUAGCAGAACCAGGAGGACCUACAGGUGGUCAUAAGGGGACCGGCAAGGAGGUCAGCCUUGCAGACUCAGCUGAUCAACUGCAGGAGGCAUUGGCCUUCCGCUUCUCAAAUCUGACGUCUGAGACUCCAAAACUGAAGCCCCGCCUUUUCCCCGGUGUCACAGGCCUGCGUAUCAAUCUCUCUUCCUGAGAAAUGGCUAAGGAAAUAAAAUAGCACAGAAGCCUCUGUGUUCUCCUAGUUAGCUGGCCACUGCAGAAGGCCAGAGGCCAAGGGUUGCUGGUGGAAGUGCAUUUGUGCAGGACUCAUCGAUCAUCCUAGGAGCUCUCCGGAGUCAUCCCUGUGGGUGUCAGGGGAGUGGGAGAUUCUCACGAGACCUAUGCAUGGGGACAAGCGAGUUAGGGAUUGGUGGGCACCCUCAGGACACCCUGCUGCCCAACAUGUUACAUAUGCCCCACAGCAUGGAUUUCCCAUAUUCCA